This is an unclassified non-coding RNA of Erinaceus europaeus (western European hedgehog), 301 nucleotides long. Its record names the gene 7SK. It matches the Rfam family "7SK RNA". From Rfam's summary of the family: 7SK was discovered as an abundant small nuclear RNA in the mid-70s but a possible function has only recently been suggested. Two independent studies have found that 7SK RNA binds the CDK9/cyclin T complex (known as elongation factor P-TEFb). The record is from Ensembl. Lineage: Eukaryota; Metazoa; Chordata; Mammalia; Eulipotyphla; Erinaceidae.
GGAUGUGAGAGGUGAUCUGGCUACAAUAUAUGUCACCCCAUUGAUGGCGAGGAUUGAUCUGGCUGACUAGGCAGGUAUCCCCUUCCUCCCUCACCACUCUCUGUGCUCACUUCUCUAAAUUGCAUUCUUAGUGAGAGGGUGAAUAUAGAUCAAUCUUAUUCAAUAAUGAAUAUAGAUCAAUCUUUGGCCAAGGGUAUGUGUGUAGCUGCACUCCCUUGCUAGAACCUCCUCCAAAAGAACGAAAGAGAAUAGUUGCUCAUUCAGUUUGUAGUUUAGUGUAAUGAAUUAGAUACCCUUUAUU